Non-coding RNA from Strigamia maritima, 78 nucleotides. The record is from Rfam. Lineage: Eukaryota; Metazoa; Arthropoda; Chilopoda; Geophilomorpha; Linotaeniidae.
AAAGGACAAGUGAUGAUCUCAUAGUUCAACUUAAAUUAAAAUUGACGAAAACAUUUCGCCCCUAUCUGACGGUCCUUA